AUGGGUAGGAAACGCAAAAUACCAAAAAAAUUAGUGGUACCUACUGAACCAAUGGUUGAAGAACCACCCAAAAUCUAUCACACCAUUGAAGCUUUUUACUUGGAUCAUCUUCGAUCCCUAUGUGCUCAGGCUGAAACCCCAACUAGCUUAGUUGAGGGCAAAUCUUUAGAUGAGCAUGCUUGUUAUGUGCAACACCGCAUAUCUGGAAAAGGGAAACUUUUACUGGAUCAAAUUGAUCGUUUGCAGUGCUAUGCUUGGAAUUUAUGUGAAAUAUAUGAUUGUACUUGUUGUUCUAAAGACCCUAAGAAACACCGUCCUUACAAAUGUGAGUUUAGUGAUAAUGGAAUCGUAUCUUCGUAUACUAAGGGUGUUUAUAAUUACUAUGAUGUUCAACAAAUUGAAGAAUUUGUUGCUUUUAGGGGUACUUGUGAAAUUGCUUCUUUUAUUGAAGAGUGUGAUACUACUCUCUACAAAUAUGAAAAUUAG
RNAcentral lists this ribosomal RNA (486 nucleotides) under Triticum aestivum (bread wheat). RNAcentral's name for it is "partial small subunit ribosomal RNA". Lineage: Eukaryota; Viridiplantae; Streptophyta; Magnoliopsida; Poales; Poaceae. The record is from RNAcentral.